RNAcentral lists this long non-coding RNA (2055 nucleotides) under Ornithorhynchus anatinus (platypus). Its description in RNAcentral is "lncRNA (ENSOANG00000043059.1)". Lineage: Eukaryota; Metazoa; Chordata; Mammalia; Monotremata; Ornithorhynchidae. The record is from RNAcentral.
GUUUGGUACCAUACUGGUAGCAAGCCCGCAUAAAUGGCUACUGCAACCGGGGAGAGAAGGAAGGGCAGGAAGGGAAAGAGUGUGUAAGAGAGAGAGGAGGAGGAGGAGGAGAAGGAGAGGACGGAGGGUGCGGCGGGGUCCCCGCCCGCAGGGCAGGGAGUCCCCCGAAAAGGCUCCCGGGGAAGGGGGAGGCUCCGCCCGCCCAGACCGGACCGUCCCACCCCGCAGCCCGAGCCCGGCCGCUCCCCACCGCCCCCGCGCGCGCCCCCCAACGGCCGCAUGCCCCGGGUGACGUCAUCGCCGCCCCCGUCUCCUAGCAACCAGCGGCCGCCGCGAUGCCCCUCGGAGACCGCGGCCGCGGUUGGCCUCUCCGCCGGCUUCGCUCCGCCUUGCGAGGGUCCGAAGCAGUCCUACAGAGGAUUCUGUCCCGCAGAGGGGUUGUUGGAGCUAUGGUGAUAAGGGCAGAUGCUAAGGAAUAUCUUCUUGCCAUUCUUCAGGAUCCAUAUGAAUAGACCUUCUGCAGUAUUGAUCUUGCAUUCAUGAAACUAUACUUUGAAAAAGGCUCAGGUUUUCAUUGUGGGCCUUACUGUUACUGAAUUUACCAGUAUAUUGAGCUUGUUUUUACUAAAACACUCUCUAGCACAGCUUCUUAGAUUUUGUUUCUGGUUGUAUUUUAGAACUGUGCUUUAGCAAGAUAUCAUACACAGAUCAAAAUCUGAUGUGAGUCCCCAAGCUUAAUGACUAAUGUAAUAAAAACGAAUCUGUGCAAGAUGCUCCCCGAAGGUGUUUCUGCUUAACUCCUUCUGCGUGCUGAGAGACAAGGAGGCGAAAGAGACGACAGCACCUUCAUCUGCAAAUAUGAAGUACAGCAACCAAACAAGAGGUCACCUUUUUGUGGGCCAAUGUGGCUGGGACUGUGGAUCCCACAUUGUCCUUUUCAGCCACACACACGCUCUCAGAUGGACUUUAAGUAGUGUCUUCUUGGACUAUGGAGGACAAGUCUACAUGCCUAUAGUACCCUACUAGGCAGAAGGAUUCCCUAAGUGCCUCCUCAAGCUUCCAUAAGGUUUUAUAGUUGCCAUACCACUGGGGCUACUGGGCAAAGAUGUGUGCUGACUUGUUACAGUGACCUCUAGCCACCACAAUUUGCUUCCCCUCUCCUCCCAACACUUCUGUGACUUUUACCAUCCCCUCCUUCCCCUCCCAUCCUUUCCCCUUCCCUCUCCCUUGUCCCAUCCCUGCUGACAGCAAUGGCUGUUGCUAAGAAGCAGCCACACGGUACAGUGAUGUCAUCACUCUGCCUCUUCUAUGGUGGCAUUUGUCACGUGGAGAGACGGCACUAAAUUAUAUGUCUUUUUGUGUACCAACUGCUUAGAUGUUUCAUUUGGUUUGACUCUUCUGCACAAAAGAGGUGCCUACCCCUAUUCUGCCUGUUGAAUAUUUGGCCAUGUGCCCAUUUUUCUCCAUUAGAUUUUAAAUGUCUCAAAUGUAAGAACCGAGUCUCUUUUAUACACCCUCCAGGCGACUGGUACAGUUACAACGCUCCGGACAUCAUGAACACUUCAUCAUUGGUAUUUAUUGAGCAGUUGCUGUAUGUAGAACACUGUACUGGGCGCUUACUCGAUCCGAAUAAUGAUUCUGGGUAAUGAGCAGAUUAGUCCCUUCUGGUGUGGGAGAAAGAACUCACUCUCCUGGACUUCGGUGGUGAGAACUGGUGACUCCUUCUAAUCUAACACCAAUAGUGUACCCUUGCCUUCGGUUGAAGAGGAGAAAGAAUUACGCACUACCCAGAAGACAGCCACCUCAACAACUACUGGAAUUAGAGAAGCAGUGUGGCCUAGCGGAUAGAGCUUGGGAGUCAGAAGGGCCCAGGCUCUAAUGUAGGCUCUGCCGCUUGUCUAAUGUGUGAUCUCGGAUGAGACACUUAAUUUUUCAGUGUCUCAAUUACCUCAUCUGUAAAAUGAAGAUUAAGGCUGUGAGUCCCAUGUGGGGCAGGGACUGUGUCCAAUCUGAUUAGUUUGUAUCGACCCCAGGGCUUAGUAUACAGUGCCUGCC